CCUCUCACCACCUGCUACCCACGCCUCCUCUCCCACCUAUAUAAACCCCCUUCAACGUAUCAAGAAAACACACACAAGUUUCUUGGGCCAUUUCUAGUUCUUAGCUUUCUUCUCCUUCUUAAUCAGGCACUUUUGAGUUAAAAAACACAUUUCAAUGGCAAAUUUAAAGGCUGUUUUGAUUCUUGUAGCAGUCAUGGCAUUUUUGUCAGCUGUAAUGGCCCAAGAAGUGUCAACACGGGCACCGGCGCCAUCUCCUGACCAGGGUGCCGGAAACUUCUUGCUGGUUUCAGGGGCGAUUGUGUGUUCUUCAUUGGUUUUGUCUCUUAUGGCCUUCAUCAAGAGCUAGAUUGUUUAUCUGUCAUGUUCAGAUUCAUUCUUACUGAGGAAUGAGGAUUGGUUUCAAAUAAAAAUUCUUCAAAUAAAAUAAGAACCGACAUGCUCGUAUAAAAAAAUGUUUUCUUUAUUUUUUAAUAUUUUUAUUACUAAUUUAAGUUCGUAUCGAUAUAGAAUCAACCCUUUAAGCUGAAUCAAUUUCAAAAUAUUGUUCUAUGUCACACAAUGAGUAAAAUUUCUUCAUUGAAUUUUUCAUGAAAUCUCAAUUGGAUUACUGAAUUUCAAUUUAAUUUUAAUUGAUUCUUUGAGCAAUAAUUUAAUUUUAAAUUUCCCUAUUAUGUUACCAGUUAACAUUUUAAUAUAAAGAUAUUGCCAUAAUCUUUACAUUAUCAUUUUCAUUUUGAGUCACGUAGAAAUUAUGUUGAAAAUCAAAUAUUAUAUAAUUGUCAAUUAAGUAAUUUUCAUCCAUUUAAAAGUCGCAAAUGAAAUUUACCUGAUAUAGAAAAUCGAUUCCUUGUUGGUUGGAUUCAAUAUUUUCCGGAGUCAUCACUCUUCUUCCGCGUGGCAUGUUCCCUCUCACCACCUGCUACCCACGCCUCCUCUCCCACCUAUAUAAACCCCCUUCAACGUAUCAAGAAAACACACACAAGUUUCUUGGGCCAUUUCUAGUUCUUAGCUUUCUUCUCCUUCUUAAUCAGGCACUUUUGAGUUAAAAAACACAUUUCAAUGGCAAAUUUAAAGGCUGUUUUGAUUCUUGUAGCAGUCAUGGCAUUUUUGUCAGCUGUAAUGGCCCAAGAAGUGUCAACACGGGCACCGGCGCCAUCUCCUGACCAGGGUGCCGGAAACUUCUUGCUGGUUUCAGGGGCGAUUGUGUGUUCUUCAUUGGUUUUGUCUCUUAUGGCCUUCAUCAAGAGCUAGAUUGUUUAUCUGUCAUGUUCAGAUUCAUUCUUACUGAGGAAUGAGGAUUGGUUUCUUAUUUUACUUUUCUGGGCUAUGAUGUGAGAGUAUUUGUAUAAUUUUUAUUGACUACACAUGAUAUUAUUCAUUUGUGUUUAGGUUACACACAUAUACAUAUACAUAUACAUAUGUAUACACAUUUUGUGUCCGUAUUAUUCUUAUUCUUGGUUUUAGUUAUAGAAUUGAAUUUUGAUUGUGCUUUAAAAUUAUUUUUGAUAAACUUGACCAAUAAUUUAUAUAUAUGUAUUCAAAAGAAUCAAUAUUUUUGUCACAAAUAGAAAGUGUGAUUAUAA
This 1583-nucleotide long non-coding RNA is filed under the name Olea europaea (common olive). RNAcentral's name for it is "long non-coding RNA (OEUR_LNC006041)". Lineage: Eukaryota; Viridiplantae; Streptophyta; Magnoliopsida; Lamiales; Oleaceae. The record is from RNAcentral.